CAAUAUGAAACAUCCAUGUAAUAUUCUUAUCUUUUUAGGUGAUCCAUGUUAUGGAGUUUCCUGGUGUAAUAAUGGCCAUUGUGUUGUGCAGGGAUCCUCAUAUUACUGUCAAUGUCAUUCUUGCUGGGGUAACCAUCAUUAUCAAUCGUUAUGCACCUGUAAGUAUUUUAUGCAACGCUAGACUAUCGUAGAGGUGCUAUCAUGUUUUCUCGUCUGUGUGUUUGUCUGUAUAAUCCGCCUGUUAUAUUUAAAAUUUGGUUGAGGUAAAUGGGGUCUAAAUUAAAUAGAUUUUUUUAAGGUGGAUCGUCUGUAUAUAUACUAGUCAAGAAAAGAAACGAUAAAAGUCUUUUAUUUCGAAUUCAAGAUGAUUUUUUCAUUAUAUAUGACAAAUAUUAAAGGUGGUAAUACCGAAUGAUCACGGAACUAUAAAUCUGUUUACAAAAAAAAAAUAUUAUUUGCUUCCAUGACGUCAUUGGGUGAAAUAUUUUUGGGACAAAAUUUACCAAAAAACACAAUUUUAUAAACAUAAGUUCCAACUCAUGAUGCCAACCUCUCAUUUAAAGGGAAAGACAAGCUUGCCAUAAUUUUGUUUUUAAAAAUCAUACAGUUUCUUCGUUUAUUUGUAAAGCGAAAUUCGGACCCAUAAGAAAUCGGUAAAAUGUUUACAUUAUCAUUUCAUUUACCAUAUACACUAUAUAUAUGUAUAUGUAAAGUGAAAUUCAAAUACACGUAUCAAACUUAAAACUGAUAUGAAAGUUUCCAAAUUUACAGUGUGGUGUUUUCAUAUCUAAAGCAUUGAUUUGAGACCUAAACACAUUUAAAAAAAAAAAAAAAUUGAGAUUUCAAAAAAAAUAAUAAAAAAAAAAAAUUGAGAUAUCAAAAAAAAUAAAAAAAAAAAUAUUUCAACCCAUAAUUUACAACAUGAACACAACUUGAAUAGCAAUUGCAUAUUUUUCAACAAGUUUGAGUUUUUUUUUAGUACUUUGAAAAUUGUGUCGAUUUUAAACCAAUUUUCCGCAAAAAUAAUUUGAAUCCUGUGAUAAUUUUCGACAGGUUUUGAAAUUUCAUAAUCAUAUGCACAUACAUGGCAAAUGAAUAGUUUUUAAAAUAGUUCAUCUCAGUUUUGUUUUAUAUUAAAUUCUUAUUGAUCAAUUUGAUUCCAAAAUCGUGUAUCGUUUCUUUUGUUGACUAGUAUAGUAUAUUUUCUCAACAUUUUCUUAAACUUUGCCAAACAUAAGAUUUUACUAUGCUCUUUCAAAAAUAUAAUUAAAAGUAUGGGUCACCGUACUAUUUUGCAAGCUACCAGUCGUGCAAAGUUUCACAAAUUUGAAUAGAUGGUGUCACUGAACUUGUUUUCUUGCUACAAGUAAAACUUGAAAAUUUCAUUAUCAUUCCAGUAUUAAACUUUUACUAUAUCUCCCCUUAAAUGGCUACGUGGAAAAAUUGAUUCUAAAAACACAAAUAUUUGGUAUUUUGAAUAAUGCAAAUCACUUGUUUUCUUUAUACAAAUAAACAGUCUAACACAUCAAUUGCAAAUCUGUCUCAACAUUUGCAGAUUUAGGCAAAGAACUAGACCGAUUAUGUACUGCUAUUGUACAAUCUAAGAUGGCGGUAUACACUGAAUCUACCUUAAAAUUUGUCAAACUGUAGUAUAUAGUAUGCUUUUUUCAAAACAGUAAUAAAAAGAAUGGGUAACCGUGCUUUUUUCACGCUACAUGUUGUUCAUAAUUGCUGAGACUAGUAGUCUCAGAUAAUUGUCAGAUUUUAUAUAGAUUAUCCAAGGAAAACCUAACUUUGUGUGAUUCAUAGAAAUCUACAACAUAGAAUUUUAAGAAAGACUAUGAGAAGAUAGCUCUAAUAAUAUGCUUUCAUGUAAGGAAUAGAGAAAAGGGGGUCACUGGACUCAUUUUCUGACUACAUUAUAAAAAAGCUAAAUUAACAACACAUUCUAUUUAAAGGUUACUUUAUCUGAGUUGUCUCCCCUUACAUGGCAAGGUUGAAGAAAUGAAUCAAACAAAAACAUUCUGUUUUUUUGUUGUUGUAAAAUACAGCCGUAAAAUAUAAUAAAACACAUAUUUUUUUUUGAAAUUAACACGAAAGUCUUUUCGAAAUUUUCACUUUACCUCGAUCUCAUAUCAUGGAUCAGUGAACAAGGAUAGUUUUCAUGGCCAUGUCCAUAUCUCAGAUACUAUAAGCAAUAUGUUGACUAUAUAUGGUGUAAGGAAUGAUUGUAAGGUGUACAUGUCCAACUGGGGUGUCAUUUCGGAGCCUUUUAAAGCUUACUAUGCGGUAUGGGUUUUGCUCAUUGUUAAAGGCCAUACGGUGACAUAUAGUUCUUAAUGUCAUUUGGUCUCUGGUGAAGCAUUUUCUCAUUUGCAAUUAUGUCAUUUCUUCUUAUUUUUAUAUACCAGUUGUAUGCAGUAUUUUUGUCAUUCAUUUAAGGAUUGAAUGCUUCUUUUUGUAACUUCAUUGGGGUGUAAAAGCGUUGACCGAAGUACAUUUUGUUUCCGCGCUUCAUAUUAAAAAUGUGCGCACGGUCAACGCUUUUACAACCCUAUGAAGUUACAAAAAGAAGCAUUCAAUACUUAUAAUUACAUUUUUUCAGCAAUGAUCAUGAACACACGAAUUUUAUUAUUGUUUUAUUUAAUUCACCUGUGCAUUUUGUGGCACCACGUGUUAUCAUGAAUGAAGUUUUAUGGAGCAAUCCAAUUGCUUACGGAAUGACACGUGAUGUGCAGUAAGCCAAUCAGAAUAAAGUAGCAUAAUGAAACAUACAUCUAAUGUAAUUAUUAUAUUUUACAGACUAUAUGUGUAGAUAGGAUGUUGGAAUACUACGCAACAUUUCCGAAGAUCAAUGGACCCAAUCUGAAUUUGUUUUGGAUUAUUGUAACGUUUCUGUUUUGUACAUUGUAAUUACUUUAUACGUCCCUAACGACGCACUGAGAAUGCGCAAC
Molecule: long non-coding RNA, 2954 nt
Filed under: Mytilus galloprovincialis (Mediterranean mussel)
Lineage: Eukaryota; Metazoa; Mollusca; Bivalvia; Mytilida; Mytilidae
Source: RNAcentral